This 256-nucleotide long non-coding RNA is filed under the name Lathyrus oleraceus (garden pea). RNAcentral describes it as "Pisum sativum (pea) long non-coding RNA (PSAT_LNC018046)". The record is from RNAcentral. Lineage: Eukaryota; Viridiplantae; Streptophyta; Magnoliopsida; Fabales; Fabaceae.
GAGGCUUGACCUUCUUGUCGAAUGCUUUCUUCAUUCUCUGCUGAUAUAACUGACCAUGGCACAUGGCAGUUAAACGCUUCUCUUCGAUUAAAUUCAACUGGUCGUAACGACUCUGAAUCCAUUCAGCAUCAGUCAACUAGGGACUUGAGGGUAUAAUUUUUUCUUUUUUCCCUUGGAAAAAUUUUCCUGGUUUUUUGAUUUUUUCAUUCUUUUUUCACCCUCUUUUUCUCUUUUUUCUUUGAUUGAUUUUUUUUUU